AAACUUUCAACAACGGAUCUCUUGGUUCUCGCAUCGAUGAAGAACGCAGCGAAAUGCGAUACGUAAUGUGAAUUGCAGAAUUCCGUGAAUCAUCGAAUCUUUGAACGCACAUUGCGCCCCUUGGUAUUCCAGGGGCAUGCCUGUUUGAGCGUCAUUUC
RNAcentral lists this ribosomal RNA (158 nucleotides) under Saccharomyces cerevisiae (brewer's yeast). RNAcentral's name for it is "5.8S rRNA". It matches the Rfam family "5.8S ribosomal RNA". Rfam says of the family: 5.8S ribosomal RNA (5.8S rRNA) is a component of the large subunit of the eukaryotic ribosome. It is transcribed by RNA polymerase I as part of the 45S precursor that also contains 18S and 28S rRNA. Functionally, it is thought that 5.8S rRNA may be involved in ribosome translocation. The record is from RNAcentral. Lineage: Eukaryota; Fungi; Ascomycota; Saccharomycetes; Saccharomycetales; Saccharomycetaceae.